RNAcentral lists this ribosomal RNA (510 nucleotides) under uncultured bacterium. Its description in RNAcentral is "partial 16S ribosomal RNA". It matches the Rfam family "Bacterial small subunit ribosomal RNA", at positions 28 to 507 of the family's 1533-position model. The record is from RNAcentral.
GACGAACGCUGGCGGCGUGCUUAACACAUGCAAGUCGAACGAAGAGCGAUGGAUUCUUGCUUCUAUUAAUCUUAGUGGCGAACGGGUGAGUCACGCGUAAUCAACCUGCCCUUCAGGGGGGGACAACAGUUGGAAACGCUGGCUAAUACCACAUCCGACUUAUUCUCGGCAUGGAGGAGAGAUGAAAGGUGGCCUCUACAUGUAAUCUAUCACUUCAGGAGGUGUUUGCGUCUGAUUAGCUAGUUGGCGGGGUAACGGCCCACCAAGGCGUGGAUAAGUAGCCGGGCGGAGAGGAUGAACGGCCACAUUGGGACUGAGACACGGCCCAGACGCCUACGGGAGGCAGCAGUGGGGAAUCUUCCGCAAGGGACGAAAGACUGACGGAGCAACGCCGCGGGAGGGAUGACGGCCGUCGGGUUGGAAAGCUCGGUUAAUCGGGACGAAAGGCCUUCUUGCGAAUAGGGAGAAGGAUUGACGGUACCGGAAUAGAAAGCCACGGCUAACUACGUG